UGCAGUCGAACGGACUUAACCUUUAGUUUACUAUUGGAGCGGUUAGUGGCGGACUGGUGAGUAACACGUAAGCAACCUGCCUAUCAGAGGGGAACAACAGUUAGAAAUGACUGCUAAUACCGCAUAUGCCUUAGAAUCACAUGGUUCAAAAGGGAAAGGAGCAAUCCGCUGAUAGAUGGGCUUGCGUCUGAUUAGAUAGUUGGUGGGGUAAUGGCCUACCAAGUCGACGAUCAGUAGCCGGACUGAGAGGUUGAACGGCCACAUUGGGACUGAGAUACGGCCCAGACUCCUACGGGAGGCAGCAGUCGGGAAUAUUGCGCAAUGGAGGAAACUCUGACGCAGUGACGCCGCGUGCAGGAAGAAGGUUUUCGGAUUGUAAACUGCUUUAGACAGGGAAGAAACAAGACAGUACCUGUAGAAUAAGCUCCGGCUAACUACGUGCCAGCAGCCGCGGUAAUACGUAGGGAGCAAGCGUUAUCCGGAUUUAUUGGGUGUAAAGGGUGCGUAGACGGGAAAACAAGUUAGUUGUGAAAUCCCUCGGCUUAACUGAGGAACUGCAACUAAAACUAUUUUUCUUGAGUGCUGGAGAGGAAAGUGGAAUUCCUAGUGUAGCGGUGAAAUGCGUAGAUAUUAGGAGGAACACCAGUGGCGAAGGCGACUUUCCGGACAGUAACUGACGUUGAGGCACGAAAGUGUGGGGAGCAAACAGGAUUAGAUACCCUGGUAGUCCACACCGUAAACGAUGGAUACUAGGUGUAGGGGAUGAAUAAUCUUCUGUGCCGUCGCAAACGCAGUAAGUAUCCCACCUGGGGAGUACGGCCGCAAGGUUGAAACUC
RNAcentral lists this ribosomal RNA (836 nucleotides) under uncultured bacterium. Its description in RNAcentral is "bacterial SSU rRNA". It matches the Rfam family "Bacterial small subunit ribosomal RNA", at positions 56 to 902 of the family's 1533-position model. The record is from RNAcentral.